GAUGAACGCCAGCGGGAGGCCUAAUACAUGCAAGUCGAACGGUAACAGGGUAGCAAUACCGCUGACGAGUGGCGCACGGGUGAGUAACACGUACACAAUCUGCCUUAUACUGGGGCAUAUCCUCGGGGAAACUGAGAGUAAUUCCCCAUAACAUAUUGAAAAGGCAUCUUUUAAUAUAAACUACCGUGGUAUAAGAUGAGUGUGCGCCUGAUUAGCUAGUUGGNGAGGUAACGGCUCACCAAGGCAAC
Molecule: ribosomal RNA, 248 nt
Filed under: uncultured bacterium
Lineage: Bacteria
Description: partial 16S ribosomal RNA
Rfam family: Bacterial small subunit ribosomal RNA
Source: RNAcentral